This 72-nucleotide transfer RNA is filed under the name Hyalella azteca. It matches the Rfam family "tRNA". From Rfam's summary of the family: Transfer RNA (tRNA) molecules are approximately 80 nucleotides in length. Their secondary structure includes four short double-helical elements and three loops (D, anti-codon, and T loops). Lineage: Eukaryota; Metazoa; Arthropoda; Malacostraca; Amphipoda; Hyalellidae. The record is from Rfam by way of RNAcentral.
UGCCCGUUAGCUCAGUGGCAGAGCACCCGUUCGACUUACGGGAGGUCGCAGGUUCGAAACCUGCAUGGGCUA